AUGCAUGGAGGGUUCCACCCCAAAUCCAGCACCCUGAGACUGUACGCUAGCCGCAAGGAAGGAGGCCGAGGACUAGUGAGCGUGAGAGCCACUAUCCGGGAUGAAACAUCCAAGAUCCAUAAGUACAUCAAGGAUAAGGCCCCGACAGAUGACGUGCUGAGUGAAUGUCUCAGGCAGUGGAGAACAGAGGAUGAGAUGCUGGAAGAGGGACCAUCAUGGGAGGACAAGCCCUUACACGGGAUGUACCACCGGAACAUAACUGAAGUGGCUGAUCUCAACAAAUCCUACCAAUUGCUUGAAAGGGCUGGGCUGAAGGACAGCACAGAGGCACUCAUCCUGGCCGCACAGGAGCAGGCCCUGAGCACCAGAGCCAUAGAGGCCCAGAUCUACCACACCAGACAAGACCCAAGGUGUAGACUGUGCAAAGAGGCCCCUGAGACGGUCCAGCACAUAACUGCAGGGUGUAAGAUGCUGGCAGGGAAAGCAUACAUGGAACGCCAUAACCAAGUGGCUGGCAUAGUAUACAGGAACAUCUGCGCAGAGUAUGGACUGGAAACCCCAAGGUCAAAGUGGGAAACACCUCCCAAGGUGGUAGAGAACGAGCGAGCCAGGAUCCCGUGGGACUUCCAGAUACAGACAGACAGAAUGGUAAUGGCGAACCAACCAGACAUUGUGGUGGUGGACAAAGAACAGAGGAAAGCAGUAGUGGUGGAUGUAGCAAUACCAAGUGAUGGCAACAUCAGGAAAAAGGAACAUGAGAAACUAGAGAAAUACCAAGGGCUCAGAGAAGAACUGGAGAAGGCUUGGAAGGUGAAGGCCACAGUGGUGCCUGUUGAUUGGAGCACUGGGGGCAGUGACCCCCAAAUUGGAGGAAUGGCUACAACAGAUCCCUGGAAUAACAUCCGACAUCUCAGUCCAGAAAAGUGCAGUCCUAGGAACAGCAAGGAUACUGCGCAGAACCCUCAAGCUUCCUGGCCUCUGGUAGAGGACCCGAGCUUGGAAAGUGGAUGA
RNAcentral lists this long non-coding RNA (1011 nucleotides) under Betta splendens (Siamese fighting fish). RNAcentral's name for it is "lncRNA (ENSBSLG00000021435.1)". The record is from RNAcentral. Lineage: Eukaryota; Metazoa; Chordata; Actinopteri; Anabantiformes; Osphronemidae.